GACGAACGCUGGCGGCGUGCCUAAUACAUGCAAGUAGAACGCUGAAGGAGGAGCUUGCUUCUCUGGAUGAGUUGCGAACGGGUGAGUAACGCGUAGGUAACCUGCCUGGUAGCGGGGGAUAACUAUUGGAAACGAUAGCUAAUACCGCAUAAGAUUGACUAUUGCAUGAUAGUCAGUUAAAAGGUGCAAUUGCAUCACUACCAGAUGGACCUGCGUUGUAUUAGCUAGUUGGUGGGGUAACGGCUCACCAAGGCGACGAUACAUAGCCGCCCUGAGAGGGGGAUCGGCCACACUGGGACUGGGACACGGCCCAGACUCCUACGGGAGGCAGCAGUAGGGAAUCUUCGGCAAUGGACGGAAGGCUGACCGGGCAACGCCGCGUGAGUGAAGAAGGUUUUCGGGUCGUAAAGCUCUGUUGUAAGGGAAGAACGAGUGUGGGAGUGGAAAGUUCACACUGUGACGGUAUCUUACCAGAAAGGGACGGCUAACUACGUG
Molecule: ribosomal RNA, 495 nt
Filed under: uncultured bacterium
Lineage: Bacteria
Description: partial 16S ribosomal RNA
Rfam family: Bacterial small subunit ribosomal RNA
Source: RNAcentral